UUUAAUAUGGCAGAUUAGUGCAAUGAAUUUAAGUUUCAUGAAUAAAAUUUUAUAUUUUUAUUAAAU
This 66-nucleotide transfer RNA is filed under the name Trybliographa sp. ZJUH 20220008. RNAcentral describes it as "tRNA-Leu". Lineage: Eukaryota; Metazoa; Arthropoda; Insecta; Hymenoptera; Figitidae. The record is from RNAcentral.